UGGGGAAUAUUGCACAAUGGGGGGAAACCCUGAUGCAGCGACGCCGCGUAUAGGAAGAAGGUUUUCGGAUUGUAAACUAUUGUCGUUAGGGAAGAAAAAAGACAGUACCUAAGGAGGAAGCUCCGGCUAACUACGUGCC
Molecule: ribosomal RNA, 139 nt
Filed under: uncultured bacterium
Lineage: Bacteria
Description: partial 16S ribosomal RNA
Rfam family: Bacterial small subunit ribosomal RNA
Source: RNAcentral